Molecule: ribosomal RNA, 452 nt
Filed under: uncultured bacterium
Lineage: Bacteria
Description: bacterial SSU rRNA
Rfam family: Bacterial small subunit ribosomal RNA
Source: RNAcentral
AUACGGGAGGCAGCAGUAAGGAAUAUUGCUCAAUGGCCGAAAGGCUGAAGCAGCAACGCCGCGUGAGGGAUGAAGACCUUAUGGUUGUAAACCUCUGUAGAAAGGGAGAAAACCUCCACUCUGUGGAGAUUGAUAGUACCUUUAAAGUAAGCCCCGGCUAACUACGUGCCAGCAGCCGCGGUAAUACGUAGGGGGCAAGCGUUGUCCGGAUUUACUGGGUGUAAAGGGUGCUCAGGUGGUUGUGCAAGUCAGAGGUGAAAUCCUAGAGCUUAACUCUGGAACUGCCUUUGAUACUGCAUAGCUUGUGUACGGAAGAGGCUGAUGGAAUUCCUGGUGUAGCAGUGAAAUGCGUAGAUAUCAGGAAGAACACCAGUGGCGAAGGCGGUCAGCUGGUCCGUUACAGACACUAAAGCACGAAAGCGUGGGGAGCAAACAGGAUUAGAUACCCCGGU